GUAGGUGGCAAGCGUUGUCCGGAAUUAUUGGGCGUAAAGCGCGCGCAGGCGGUUCUUUAAGUCUGAUGUGAAAGCCCACGGCUCAACCGUGGAGGGUCAUUGGAAACUGGAGAACUUGAGUACAGAAGAGGAAAGCGGAAUUCCACGUGUAGCGGUGAAGUGCGUAGAGAUGUGGAGGAACACCAGUGGCGAAGGCGGCUUUCUGGUCUGUAACUGACGCUGAGGCGCGAAAGCGUGGGGAGCAAACAGGGAUUAGAUACCCUGGUAGUCCACGCCGUAAACGAUGAGUGCUAAGUGUUAGGGGGGUUUCCGCCCCCUUAGUGCUGCAGCUAACGCAUUAAGCACUCCGCCUGGGGAGUACGGCCGCAAGGCUG
RNAcentral lists this ribosomal RNA (374 nucleotides) under uncultured organism. RNAcentral describes it as "partial 16S ribosomal RNA". It matches the Rfam family "Bacterial small subunit ribosomal RNA", at positions 527 to 896 of the family's 1533-position model. The record is from RNAcentral.